CUCCAGACUCCUACGGGAGGCAGCAGUGGGGAAUAUUGGGCAAUGGAGGAAACUCUGACCCAGCAAUGCCGCGUGAAUGAAGAAGGUCUUCGGAUUGUAAAGUUCUUUAGUCAGGGAAGAAGUCAAUGACGGUACCUGAAGAAUAAGCUCCGGCUAACUACGUGCCAGCAGCCGCGGUAAUACGUAGGGGGCAAGCGUUAUCCGGAUUUACUGGGUGUAAAGGGGGCGCAGACGGCAAUGCAAGCCAGGAGUGAAAGCCCGGGGCCCAACCCCGGGACUGCUCUUGGAACUGCAUGGCUGGAGUACAGGAGAGGCAGGCGGAAUUCCUAGUGUAGCGGUGAAAUGCGUAGAUAUUAGGAGGAACACCGGUGGCGAAGGCGGCCUGCUGGACUGUGACUGACGUUGAGGCCCGAAGGCGUGGGGAGCAAACAGGAUUAGAUACCCGGGUAU
This 450-nucleotide ribosomal RNA is filed under the name uncultured bacterium. RNAcentral's name for it is "partial 16S ribosomal RNA". It matches the Rfam family "Bacterial small subunit ribosomal RNA", at positions 329 to 793 of the family's 1533-position model. The record is from RNAcentral.